RNAcentral lists this ribosomal RNA (460 nucleotides) under uncultured bacterium. Its description in RNAcentral is "partial 16S ribosomal RNA". It matches the Rfam family "Bacterial small subunit ribosomal RNA", at positions 338 to 795 of the family's 1533-position model. The record is from RNAcentral.
CCUACGGGAGGCAGCAGUGAGGAAUAUUGGUCAAUGGGCUUACGCCUGAACCAGCCAAGUCGCGUGAGGGAAGACUGCCCUAUGGGUUGUAAACCUCUUUUGUCAGGGAGCAAUUGGCGCUACGUGUAGCGUUAUCGAGAGUACCUGACGAAAAAGCAUCGGCUAACUUCGUGCCAGCAGCCGCGGUAAUACGGAGGAUGCGAGCGUUAUCCGGAUUUAUGGGGUUUAAAGGGUGCGCAGGCGGAAUGUCAAGUCAGCGGUAAAAUUUCGGGGCUCAACCCCGUCGUGCCGUUGAAACUGGCGUUCUUGAGUGUGCGAGAGGUAUGCGGAAUGCGUGGUGUAGCGGUGAAAUGCAUAGAGAUCGCGCAGAACCCCGAUUGCGAAGGCGGCGUGCCGUGCCGCCACUGACGCUGAGGCACGAAAGCGCGGGGAUCGAACAGGAUUAGAUACCCCGGUAGUC